Molecule: ribosomal RNA, 270 nt
Filed under: uncultured archaeon
Lineage: Archaea
Description: partial 16S ribosomal RNA
Rfam family: Archaeal small subunit ribosomal RNA
Source: RNAcentral
CAGCUCUCCGAGUGGUGUGGAUGUUUAUUGGGCCUAAAGCAUCCGUAGCUGGCUAGGUCAGUCCCUUGUUAAAUCCACCGAAUUAAUCGUUGGAUUGCGGGGGAUACUGCUUGGCUAGGGGACGAGAGAGGCAGACGGUAUUUUCGGGGUAGGGGUGAAAUCCUAUAAUCCCGGGAAGACCACCAGUGGCGAAGGCUGUCUGCUAGAACGCGCCCGACGGUGAGGGAUGAAAGCUGGGGGAGCGAACCGGAUUAGAUACCCGAGUAGUCC